GGUAAUCUGGUGCUCACCAAAAGCUCAGUUCUUUAUAUACCAACUGUACAGAAAGAGGAGGCACAGUAAACCCAUCUCAUAUAUGCCUCAGUCCAGGACCUUUGCUAGAUCUAUAUUGUGAAUGUGGGGACCAAA
This is a small nucleolar RNA of Sorex fumeus (smoky shrew), 135 nucleotides long. RefSeq annotates it as small nucleolar RNA SNORA51. The transcript has a single exon. The record is from RefSeq and is a predicted model, not a curated record. Lineage: Eukaryota; Metazoa; Chordata; Mammalia; Eulipotyphla; Soricidae.